GCUUUCAUGUGGCCCAGUUGGUUGAGCAUUGUGCUAAAAACGCAAAGGUUGUGGGUAUGAAUCCCAGAGAAACCA
Non-coding RNA from Danionella cerebrum, 75 nucleotides. NCBI's taxonomy places the organism in Eukaryota, Metazoa, Chordata, Actinopteri, Cypriniformes, Danionidae. The record is from the annotation of a GenBank genome assembly.